GAUCUAUUCGCAAGCUCCGACUGAAUUAUCCCAUCUGAAAGUUAUGGCUUUCAAAUCACAGCCUAUUUCCUCAAGAGAGGGAUACGCCUUCGCUGCAUCAGGAGCACACAGAAUGCUGAACUCUGUGUAUUCCCUGACAGAUUUGUGGUUUGUGUCAGUCAGCUUGCAUUCAGUCGUGAUCUUUUAGCAAGUCAGAAUGAAGAUUUGACAGAAAGAGUUCUCC
RNAcentral lists this long non-coding RNA (223 nucleotides) under Homo sapiens (human). RNAcentral's name for it is "HSALNT0264291". The record is from RNAcentral. Lineage: Eukaryota; Metazoa; Chordata; Mammalia; Primates; Hominidae.